UCCCUGGUGGCUCAGUUGGUAAAGAAUCUGCCUGCAAUGCAGGAGACUCGGGUUUGAUCCCUGGGUUGGGAA
Molecule: transfer RNA, 72 nt
Filed under: Ovis aries (sheep)
Lineage: Eukaryota; Metazoa; Chordata; Mammalia; Artiodactyla; Bovidae
Rfam family: tRNA
About the family: Transfer RNA (tRNA) molecules are approximately 80 nucleotides in length.
Source: Rfam by way of RNAcentral